This 185-nucleotide small nuclear RNA is filed under the name Setaria italica (foxtail millet). Its description in RNAcentral is "snRNA U2". It matches the Rfam family "U2 spliceosomal RNA". From Rfam's summary of the family: U2 is a small nuclear RNA (snRNA) component of the spliceosome (involved in pre-mRNA splicing). Complementary binding between U2 snRNA (in an area lying towards the 5' end but 3' to hairpin I) and the branchpoint sequence (BPS) of the intron results the bulging out of an unpaired adenosine, on the BPS, which initiates a nucleophilic attack at the intronic 5' splice site, thus starting the first of two transesterification reactions that mediate splicing. The record is from Rfam by way of RNAcentral. Lineage: Eukaryota; Viridiplantae; Streptophyta; Magnoliopsida; Poales; Poaceae.
GUACCUUUCAAGUGUAGUAUAGCAUAUGUUCUUAUCAGUUUAAUAUUUGAUAUGUAAGCCAUGUGCUCACUUUGAUGUUAAAUUUAUUUUUUAUGCUGGGAGAGGAUUCACCACAGUGGUCUGCUGUUGGGAUCCUCAAGCCUCACCUAGGUGUUGCACAAUUGCUAUGGCCAGGCGCACCUCAA